UUAAAUUGAAGUAGUUUUGAAUUCAUGGCUCAGAUUGAACGCUGGCGGCAGGCCUAACACAUGCAAGUCGAACGGUAACAGGAA
This 84-nucleotide ribosomal RNA is filed under the name Salmonella enterica subsp. enterica serovar Typhimurium str. CDC_2009K1288. RNAcentral describes it as "partial 16S ribosomal RNA". The record is from RNAcentral. Lineage: Bacteria; Pseudomonadati; Pseudomonadota; Gammaproteobacteria; Enterobacterales; Enterobacteriaceae.